GGUCCGUUAACGCAGUGGUUAGUGCGCUCGCUUUUAAUAGCUUUUGUAACCGGUUAAACUAGUUAUAGAGGCCUAUCCUUAGGCUGGUUUAUCUUGUCGAGAGGUCGUGGGUUCAAAUCCCACACGGGCCG
This is a non-coding RNA of Immersiella caudata, 131 nucleotides long. The record is from the annotation of a GenBank genome assembly. NCBI's taxonomy places the organism in Eukaryota, Fungi, Ascomycota, Sordariomycetes, Sordariales, Lasiosphaeriaceae.